Molecule: RNase P RNA, 405 nt
Filed under: Paenibacillus sp. FSL K6-1230
Lineage: Bacteria; Bacillati; Bacillota; Bacilli; Caryophanales; Paenibacillaceae
Description: RNase P RNA component class A
Rfam family: Bacterial RNase P class A
About the family: Ribonuclease P (RNase P) is a ubiquitous endoribonuclease, found in archaea, bacteria and eukarya as well as chloroplasts and mitochondria. Its best characterised activity is the generation of mature 5'-ends of tRNAs by cleaving the 5'-leader elements of precursor-tRNAs. Cellular RNase Ps are ribonucleoproteins.
Source: RNAcentral
AAAGUUUGACAGACAAUCGCUGGCGGCGGCAGCCGCGAGAGGAAAGUCCGGGCUCCACAGGGCAGGAUGCUGGAUAACGUCCAGUCGGCGCGAGUCGAAGGAUAGUGCCACAGAAAUGGACCGCCGAUGGCCGCUUCAUGGCGGCACAGGCAAGGAUGGAACCGAGGUGUAAGAGACCCCGAGGAAUGCUGGUGACUUCAUUCCUGGUAAACCCCAUCUGGAGCAAGACCUAAUGGGACACAGCUUCUUCACGGAAGCAGCCUUAGCCCGAGGUGUGUCUGGGUUGGUCGCUGGAGCUGUUCAGUAAUGGAUGGCCUAGAUAGAUGAUUGUCGCUUUAUAGUGGAAGGGUAGUUCCCGUUAGGACCACAACGAGCACAGAACCCGGCUUACGGAAGACUUUCCUA